Molecule: ribosomal RNA, 328 nt
Filed under: uncultured Acidobacteriota bacterium
Lineage: Bacteria; Pseudomonadati; Acidobacteriota
Description: bacterial SSU rRNA
Rfam family: Bacterial small subunit ribosomal RNA
Source: RNAcentral
GAUGAACGCUGGCGGCGUGCCUAAUACAUGCAAGUCGGACGAAGGAUGCUUUGCUUGCAUCGCAUCCUUAGUGGCGAACGGGUGAGUAACGCGUUGGUGACCUGCCCCAAAGCGAGGGAUAGCAACUGGAAACGGUUGGUAAUACCUCAUGUGAUCCUACGGAUUAGAGGCCGUUUGAUUAAAGGAGUAAUCCACUUUGGGAGGGGCCUGCGUCCCAUCAGCUAGUUGGUAAGGUAAUGGCUUACCAAGGCGAUGACGGGUAGGGGACCUGAGAGGGUGACCCCCCACACUGGCACUGAAACACGGGCCAGACACCUACGGGUGGCUG